AUGUUAAUAACCACAAUCAAGUUUUAUAUAGAAUUGAUUGUUAUUUUGCUUUACAAUUUUCUUAAAUUUUUAGCUGAUCAUCUAUGCUUUUUUCUCGACAGGUUGAUUUGGAAAGAAUUGGAAAAGAUACUCAUGGGUAUGUUAGGGAUGACCCCGCUGCCCUUUAAAUUGAAGCGGCUUUGA
Molecule: non-coding RNA, 183 nt
Organism: Vicia faba (fava bean)
Lineage: Eukaryota; Viridiplantae; Streptophyta; Magnoliopsida; Fabales; Fabaceae
Source: the annotation of a GenBank genome assembly